AGACGGAGGGUGCUAGCGUUGUUCGGAAUCAUUGGGCGUAAAGGGCGUGUAGGCGGUUCGUUAAGUCAUGCGUGAAAGCCCUCGGCUUAACCGAGGAAGGGCGUAUGAUACUGGCGAGCUAGAGUUCGGAAGAGGGGGGUGGAAUUCCAGGUGUAGCGGUGAAAUGCGUAGAUAUCUGGAGGAACACCGGUGGCGAAGGCGACCCCCUGGUCCGACACUGACGCUGAGACGCGAAAGCGUGGGUAGCAAACAGGAUUAGAAACCCCAGUAGUCC
RNAcentral lists this ribosomal RNA (274 nucleotides) under uncultured bacterium. RNAcentral describes it as "partial 16S ribosomal RNA". It matches the Rfam family "Bacterial small subunit ribosomal RNA", at positions 523 to 796 of the family's 1533-position model. The record is from RNAcentral.